This 74-nucleotide transfer RNA is filed under the name Lachnospiraceae bacterium. Its description in RNAcentral is "tRNA-Ile". It matches the Rfam family "tRNA". Rfam says of the family: Transfer RNA (tRNA) molecules are approximately 80 nucleotides in length. The record is from RNAcentral. Lineage: Bacteria; Bacillati; Bacillota; Clostridia; Lachnospirales; Lachnospiraceae.
GGAUAUAUAGCUCAGUUGGUCAGAGCGGCGGCCUUAUAAGCCGUGUGUCGGUGGUUCGAGUCCACCUAUAUCUA